RNAcentral lists this ribosomal RNA (406 nucleotides) under uncultured bacterium. Its description in RNAcentral is "partial 16S ribosomal RNA". It matches the Rfam family "Bacterial small subunit ribosomal RNA", at positions 30 to 526 of the family's 1533-position model. The record is from RNAcentral.
AUUGAACGCUGGCGGCAGGCCUAACACAUGCACGUCGAACGAGUGGCGGACGGGUGAGUAAUGUCUGGGAAACUGCCUGAUGGAGGGGGAUAACUACUGGAAACGGUAGCUAAUACCGCAUACCAUCGGAUGUGCCCAGAUGGGAUUAGCUAGUAGGUGGGGUAAAGGCUAACCUAGGCGAAGAUCCCUAGCUGGUCUGAGAGGAUGACCAGCCACACUGGACCUGAGACAGGGUCCAGACUCCGACGGGAGGCAGCAGUGGGGAAUAUUGCACAAGGGUCGAAAGCCUGAGUCAGCCAUGCCGCGGGUAUUAAGAAGGCCUUCGGGGUGUAAAGUACUUGCAGCGGGGAGGCGUUACCCGCAGAAGAAGCACCGACUAACUCCGUGCCAGCCGCCGCGAUAAUAC